CCUCUGUGAAGCCUGAACUCCAGUAGGGCUCAAGCCAGCCAGGAAGGAGGAGGCAGCCAGAGAGGCCUCCACUGUUCUCUGCAGCAGAAGACCCCUUGCUGCCAGAGCUGCUGUGGUUCCCAUUGAGCAUUAGUCAACCCUGUACAGGAAGACCAGGAAUGCAUAGGCCAAUGCUGCAGCUAUCUGGACAGAAGGACCUUCAUACCGCAGGCUAACUGCUAGCAUCAGGUUACCUCAGCUAUGGCGAUGACUGUGUUUAUUUGUGAAGGAGUAAUCUAUCCAGCAAGAGGCACUAUCCUGACGCCUCCAGCUCCUCUGAUGUCAUGAAUUUGAGAGUGAUUUUAGGACAUGUUCAUUUGUGGGACAAGGGCUAGAAAAGAAGAACAUUUUGCAAGGGAAGGAAUUUGUUUUAUGGUGGUGUGAUCCCAGUGAUAUUGGGCUACUAAUUAGCCAUUCAAGGUCUAAGGUUCAAGAGCCACCUGUGGAAGCAGCAUCCUUUGCAGGAUAAAAUGGGCAUUGGAGGAAAGGUGUGUUGAAAUCGAUGUUUGUGGUAAAGCUAAAAAUAAAAAGAAGUAUUGCCCAUGAGACCCUUAUUUCCUAGUGCAUGUCAGUAGCCAAUCGGCAGCCAGAUGGCAUUUGGCCAUGAGGAGGUGAAAGGUCAGUGGACAACUGUAUGAGACUUGGCCUUGCCUUUGGUUACUGAAGAGUGUAUUUCUGAACUAGGUAACUGAAAUGGAAAGGAAUUCAGCUAUCAGAGGUUUGUUUCCUCUUAGAGUGCAAAGAAACGGACAACUAAAAACUUGGAUUCCUGCCAUCCAAAAGUGAAAAACCAAAGGUGAACUCUGGAAGCACAUUCAAAAGUGCUGGACAGGGAUCUCCGUUCAUAAAUAUCUUGCUGCUGCUGAUUGAUGAAAUGGAAGUAUUUUGUAUGUGAAACAAAAUAAAACAUGUUGACGAGAGCAGAGCAAAUAGCCAGCUUGCA
This is a long non-coding RNA of Hemicordylus capensis (graceful crag lizard), 982 nucleotides long. RefSeq lists it as uncharacterized. The transcript has 3 exons. The record is from RefSeq and is a predicted model, not a curated record. Lineage: Eukaryota; Metazoa; Chordata; Lepidosauria; Squamata; Cordylidae.